This 450-nucleotide ribosomal RNA is filed under the name uncultured bacterium. RNAcentral describes it as "bacterial SSU rRNA". It matches the Rfam family "Bacterial small subunit ribosomal RNA", at positions 330 to 794 of the family's 1533-position model. The record is from RNAcentral.
UCCAGACUCCUACGGGAGGCAGCAGUGGGGAAUAUUGCACAAUGGGGGAAACCCUGAUGCAGCGACGCCGCGUGAGCGAAGAAGUAUUUCGGUAUGUAAAGCUCUAUCAGCAGGGAAGAAAAAAAUGACGGUACCUGAGUAAGAAGCACCGGCUAAAUACGUGCCAGCAGCCGCGGUAAUACGUAUGGUGCAAGCGUUAUCCGGAUUUACUGGGUGUAAAGGGAGCGUAGGCGGCGCGUUAAGUCUGAUGUGAAAACCCGAGGCUCAACCACGGGAGUGCAUUGGAAACUGGCGGGCUGGAGUGCCGGAGAGGUAAGCGGAAUUCCUAGUGUAGCGGUGAAAUGCGUAGAUAUUAGGAGGAACACCAGUGGCGAAGGCGGCUUACUGGACGGCAACUGACGCUGAGGCUCGAAAGCGUGGGGAGCAGACAGGAUUAGAUACCCGCGUAAA